UACGUAGGGCGCAAGCGUUGUCCGGAAUCAUUGGGCGUAAAGCGCGCGUAGGCGGCCCUGUAAGUCCGUUGUGAAAGUCAAAGGCUCAACCUUUGAAAGCCGAUGGAUACUGCAGGGCUAGAGUCCGGAAGAGGAGAGUGGAAUUCCCGGUGUAGCGGUGAAAUGCGCAGAUAUCGGGAAGAACACCCGUGGCGAAGGCGGUUCUCUGGGACGGUACUGACGCUGAGACGCGAAAGCGUGGGGAGCGAACAGG
This 253-nucleotide ribosomal RNA is filed under the name uncultured bacterium. RNAcentral's name for it is "partial 16S ribosomal RNA". It matches the Rfam family "Bacterial small subunit ribosomal RNA", at positions 524 to 776 of the family's 1533-position model. The record is from RNAcentral.